ACCCUAGCACACCCCUCCAGAUUUAUAAACCCCAACCAAAUGCAGCCGCGCCUCUCCUCCGAACGUAAAACCGCACGCCUAAAUUUUUUUUUCUUUCCAUCUUCUCUGCCGCUGCCUCUUUCUCCCCGUUCUCUCGCAACCUUCCCCCUCAUCCUCUCCCGUAGCCUCUGUUUUCUCUUCCCCACGGAGUGGAACUCAAAGCUUUGCAUUUCCAGGUUCCAGGAGAAAGUUCCGAACACUGCUGCUAGUGGGGAUGGAAGCAGUAAUGGAACAUUAUUUAGAGCUGUUCUGUUAGUUCGAAGAGGAAAGUGUGAUGAAGCGCGUGAGUAUGUUGAGAGAGCUAGGAAAUGCUUGGCAACAGAGCUUGCUGCUUUGAUGGAUACCAGUGAAGAUUUCAAAAGCGUUUUUCUGGAAAUGUUGCACAGGGAGAUUUGUGUUGGCCAAUCCUUACAAAUUCAAGGGGUUUCGUGUUCUUCCCCAAUUCUGUGAAAUUUUGCUUUCUCUGUUUCUUUCGUCUACGGUUUCAAGAUGGCAAAUGAUCCAAGAUUCAAGAAUACUGUAUUUGCCACCAGUGGGAAGAUCCCGAUUCCCAUGUCUGCAACAACUGUGACACAUAUUCAAAAUGUGUAUGGAGGAACAUUGAUGCAAGGAGCAAGACAGGUGUCGUAUCAUUUAUUGGAUGAGACUGAAUCACGUUCUUGGUAUCACUACAGCGGAUCACAGUCAAUACAUAUCCUGAAAGCGUAUCAUCUAUUCACAAUAAAGAAGGAUAUGUAUUUGAUCACCACAGAGAGGACGGAACAUACUCUGCAAUCGUGGGUGCAGAACAACGCAAAUAAUAUUAUCAAUCCUGUAAUCGGGGAGUCGACUGAAUAAUUCUUUGGUAAUUAAUUUUAUAAAUAUUUUUAACCUAUAAUUUUGUUAGGUAUUGGUUGUAAUUGAAUAGAUAUUUUUUUGUUUUACAAGGUUGUUGUGAGAGUGUUAAAACAUCUCCAUAACCAGAAUCUUCAGCAUGUAAAUGUUACCCCGAUAUCGGUAUUUGUUGUAGAUGGCAUUGGAUGUCUUGGUCGCCCAUGUGAUAGCAAAAAUCCUUCGAGGCCAGAUAUAGAUGAUUGAUUCAGCAACAUAUUGAAUUUUGUAUAUAGGGGACAAGCUCAGGCAGGUGCUAGUCUCCGACGUCUGAUGUCAAGAGUGAGACCCCUGAAUACAAAAUUCAAUAUGUUGCUGAAUCCAUCAAUAUCUAUAUUUGGCCUCGAAGGAUUUUUGCUGUUAGAUGGGCGACCAAGACAUCCAAUGUCAUCUACAACAAAUAUCAAUAUCGGGGUAACAUUUCUAUGCCGAAAAUUCUGGAUAUGGAGAUGUUUCAACCCUCUCACAACACCCCUGUAAAACAAAAACAGAUAUAUUCAAUUACAACCAAUACCUAACAAAAUUAUAGGUUAAAAUUAUUUACCAAAGAAUUCUUCAGUCGGCUCCCCAGUUACAGAAUUGAUAAUAUUAUUUGCGUUGUUCUGCACCCAUGAUUGCAGAGUAUGUUCCGUCAUCUCUGUGGUGAUCACAUACAUAUCUUUCUUUAUUGUGAAUAGAUGAUCCGCUUUCAGGAGAUGUAUUGAUCGUGGUCCGCUGUAGUGAUACCAAGAUCGUGCUUCAGUCUCAUCCAAUAAAUGAUACGACACCUGUCUUGCUCCUUGCAUCAAAGUUCCUCCAUACACAUUUUGAAUAUGUGUCACAGUUGUUGCAGACAUGGGAAUCGGGAUUUUACCAGUGCCCUUGUUUCAAAAAUUAUAAUACAUAAUCAGACAAUAAUCACUACUUUUAGUUCUUCCAAGAAUCAUCUUUACGGCCUUGCAGAAAAAAAAACUCAUCUAUCACCAAAAUUAUAUUACCGUUGAAUUUGUGAUUUUAGAGUUUCUUUGAAUCACUGUAUUAGCCUGUUACAAUUGAAUGGAUUUAGAUUUAUAUAAUUUGUUUGUAAUGAUGAUUUAAAUAUAAACAAUUUGAAUUGU
RNA transcript from Malus domestica (apple), 2006 nucleotides. RefSeq lists it as uncharacterized. Lineage: Eukaryota; Viridiplantae; Streptophyta; Magnoliopsida; Rosales; Rosaceae. The record is from RefSeq and is a predicted model, not a curated record.